AGAGUUUGAUCCUGGCUCAGGACGAACGCUGGCGGCGUGCUUCACACAUGCAAGUCGAGCGGAAAGGCCCCUUCGGGGUACUCGAGCGGCGAACGGGUGAGUAACACGUGAGUAACCUGCCCUUAGCACCGGGAUAGCUCCGGGAAACCGGAAUUAAUACCGGAUACGAUCACGGUCGGCAUCGACUGUGAUGGAAAGGA
RNAcentral lists this ribosomal RNA (200 nucleotides) under uncultured bacterium. RNAcentral describes it as "partial 16S ribosomal RNA". It matches the Rfam family "Bacterial small subunit ribosomal RNA", at positions 8 to 209 of the family's 1533-position model. The record is from RNAcentral.